CCUACGGGGGGCAGCAGUGGGGAAUAUUGGACAAUGGGCGAAAGCCUGAUCCAGCCAUGCCGCGUGUGUGAAGAAGGCCUUCGGGUUGUAAAGCACUUUCAGUGGGGAAGAAAGCCUUGGGGCUAAUACCCUCGAGGAAGGACAUCACCCACAGAAGAAGCACCGGCUAACUCCGUGCCAGCAGCCGCGGUAAUACGGAGGGUGCGAGCGUUAAUCGGAAUUACUGGGCGCAAAGCGCGCGUAGGCGGUCUGAUAAGCCGGUUGUGAAAGCCCCGGGCUCAACCUGGGAACGGCAUCCGGAACUGUCAGGCUAGAGUGCAGGAGAGGAAGGUAGAAUUCCCGGUGUAGCGGUGAAAUGCGUAGAGAUCGGGAGGAAUACCAGUGGCGAAGGCGGCCUUCUGGACUGACACUGACGCUGAGGUGCGAAAGCGUGGGUAGCAAACAGGAUUAGAUACCCCAGUAGUC
Molecule: ribosomal RNA, 465 nt
Filed under: Vreelandella stevensii
Lineage: Bacteria; Pseudomonadati; Pseudomonadota; Gammaproteobacteria; Oceanospirillales; Halomonadaceae
Description: partial 16S ribosomal RNA
Rfam family: Bacterial small subunit ribosomal RNA
Source: RNAcentral